Long non-coding RNA from Etheostoma spectabile (orangethroat darter), 471 nucleotides. RefSeq lists it as uncharacterized. The record is from RefSeq and is a predicted model, not a curated record. NCBI's taxonomy places the organism in Eukaryota, Metazoa, Chordata, Actinopteri, Perciformes, Percidae. The transcript is spliced from 2 exons.
AGAUUGGCUCUUCUAAAACAUAUUAAUUAUCCAUCACAAAAACUAACAUGUCUGUCAGUUAAUGGUGUAAAUGCACUUUUAACUGAUCAUUUUAAUUUAGUUGAUUCAUAAUUAUAUAACCAACUUGUUUGUUCAACUUGUUAGCAUGCUUACUAGCUAAUCAUCCAUCUUAUUUUCUUAACACAUUUGAUUAUGGCAAAAUAAGCGCAUGUACUGGAAGCUAGCUUUAGCUUUAGUUACUUUUGUGUCUUUGCUAAAUGAGCCUGCUAGCUAGUUAGUUAAUAAUUUGAUUACCUGCUCAAAAACUGGCCUUUUUUAGGAUCAUGUGAAGUUAUUAGUGUUGCAUGUGGCUGCGCUGGCAGAACUACAGUAUGAAGCAACUGCAAAGCCACUACGUUGUGUUUUCCUUUGAAAGACAAAGCGUGAAACCACUUUCAGAUAUUGGAGGCCGGUUCAUCUUUAAACGGGACA